AUUGAACGCUGGCGGCAGGCCUAACACAUGCAAGUCGAACGGUAGCACAGAGAGCUUGCUCUCGGGUGACGAGUGGCGGAUGGGUGAGUAAUGUCUGGGAAACUGCCCGAUGGCGGGGGCUAACUACUGGAAACGGUAGCUAAAACCGCAUAACGUCCCAAGACCAAAGUGGGGGACAUUAGAGCCUCACACCACAGGAUUUGUCCAGAUGGGAUUAGCUAGUAGGUGGGGUAAUGGCUCACCUAGGCGACGAUCCCUAGCUGGUCUGAGAGGAUGACCAGCCACACUGGAACUGAGACACGGUCCAGACUCCUACGGGAGGCAGCAGUGGGGAAUAUUGCACAAUGGGCGCAAGCCUGAUGCAGCCAUGCCGCGUGUAUGAAGAAGGCCUUCGGGUUGUAAAGUACUUUCAGCGGGGAGGAAGGCCGUGAAGUUAAUAGCUUCACCGAUUGACGUUACCCGCAGAAGAAGCACCGGCUAACUCCGUGCCAGCCGCCGCCGUAA
This 504-nucleotide ribosomal RNA is filed under the name uncultured bacterium. RNAcentral describes it as "partial 16S ribosomal RNA". It matches the Rfam family "Bacterial small subunit ribosomal RNA", at positions 30 to 523 of the family's 1533-position model. The record is from RNAcentral.